UGGACAGAAGUCUGAAGUGAGUCAGGGA
Molecule: non-coding RNA, 28 nt
Filed under: Macaca fascicularis (crab-eating macaque)
Lineage: Eukaryota; Metazoa; Chordata; Mammalia; Primates; Cercopithecidae
Also listed under: 1 other name
Source: RNAcentral